UACGUAGGGUGCGAGCGUUAAUCGGAAUUACUGGGCGUAAAGCGUGCGCAGGCGGUUCGCAAAGUCUGAUGUGAAAGUCCAGGGCUCAACCCUGGGAUGCCGGUGGAUACUGUCGGGCUCGAGUCCGGAAGAGGAGUGUGGAAUUCCUGGUGUAGCGGUGAAAUGCGUAGAGAUGCGGAGGAACACCGAUGGCGAAGGCAGCCCCCUGGGCUAAGACUGACGCUGAGGCACGAAAGCGUGGGGAGCAAACAGG
This 253-nucleotide ribosomal RNA is filed under the name uncultured bacterium. Its description in RNAcentral is "partial 16S ribosomal RNA". It matches the Rfam family "Bacterial small subunit ribosomal RNA", at positions 524 to 776 of the family's 1533-position model. The record is from RNAcentral.